This 430-nucleotide ribosomal RNA is filed under the name Bacteroidota bacterium. RNAcentral describes it as "Bacteroidetes bacterium partial 16S ribosomal RNA". It matches the Rfam family "Bacterial small subunit ribosomal RNA", at positions 355 to 776 of the family's 1533-position model. The record is from RNAcentral. Lineage: Bacteria; Pseudomonadati; Bacteroidota.
UAGGGAAUCUUCGGCAAUGGGGGGAACCCUGACCGAGCAACGCCGCGUGAGUGAAGAAGGUUUUCGGAUCGUAAAGCUCUGUUGUUAAGGAAGAACGAGUGUGAGAAUGGAAAGUUCAUACUGUGACGGUACUUAACCAGAAAGGGACGGCUAACUACGUGCCAGCAGCCGCGGUAAUACGUAGGUCCCGAGCGUUGUCCGGAUUUAUUGGGCGUAAAGCGAGCGCAGGCGGUUAGAUAAGUCUGAUGUGAAAGCCCCCGGCUCAACCGGGGAGGGUCAUUGGAAACUGGUUGACUUGAGUGCAGAAGAGGAGAGUGGAAUUCCAUGUGUAGCGGUGAAAUGCGUAGAUAUAUGGAGGAACACCGGUGGCGAAAGCGGCUCUCUGGUCUGUAACUGACGCUGAGGCUCGAAAGCGUGGGGAGCGAACAGG